AAGCCUAUACUUUCAGGGAUCAUUUCUAUAGUUACUUAUUAGAGAAGCAGCUCUGAAUGUGUACAAUCCCAGAAACCAUGAGGAGAACAUAAAGUGUUCUCUCCUGAGGUUGGACCUGACUUUUGAGUAUUGUUUUUGCAACUGUUCUUUGUCAUCAGUGAUGGUUCAUAUCACUACUAAACUGGCAUGAGGCAGAGGACAUGAUUGGAGUGAU
Small nucleolar RNA from Sorex fumeus (smoky shrew), 214 nucleotides. RefSeq annotates it as small nucleolar RNA U3. The record is from RefSeq and is a predicted model, not a curated record. The transcript has a single exon. NCBI's taxonomy places the organism in Eukaryota, Metazoa, Chordata, Mammalia, Eulipotyphla, Soricidae.